CUGAGGGGGCAGGUUAUGGUGUGUGGAUGUGCACAGCAAUGCUAAGGAGGGGAAGAAAAGAGGUGAAAUGCAAGCAUUGAGAUCCUGAGACUUUAGUUUAGAGAAAGAUUUGCAGAAGGAAUAGGUUACAUACAUAUUAUCUGUUCAGGCCAGGAUAUAAUCCCUAUUUCUGUUAGGAAGAUAUCCAUAGUAUAAAAAAUAUGCAUUUGUAUUAUGAUAUAAAAUAAUGUUACAUAAAUAGUAGUGCUACGAAUUUGCAAGUGUCAAGAAAGACAGAAUAAGGCUUCCAGAUUUGUAGUAAAAUGAAAUUAGAAACAUUGUCUCUACCCAGAGGAGCCAGCUUGAAGUAGAUAGCAAAACAGAAAUUCAUCCCACCUGAGGAUUUCUUCUCCCUAAAGACAGGUAAGGCUCCCAGACCUUCACACAUCUGAGCACAGAUCUGCUACCAAGGCUGACAGAAAUAAAGAGAUGGAAACAGCUUUGGGCUAAAAGUUUUCUCCUCAAGAGAGAUCAUUUUCUCAUGCCUGUCUGCAGGAGGUUGGUGUCUUUCCACACUCUACUUUCCAAGAAACAGAAAAAAAGGACUCUUGAAGUAUUGAGAAAAAUCAAGAGAAAGGAAUGUAUGCCUUCUUGGUAAAGACUGUCCAGGGUAACUGUUUUGAAGAAGGGCUAAGACCAAAUACAUAAAGGGAAGAGUAGACUGCUACCAGGAGCAGACCAAUUGCCAAGGUGAGCACUUUUCACAAGUUUCUGCCUUACUUAUCCAGAUUUUCUUGAAUUACUUUAUGAUAAGUUUGAUCACCUUUCCUUAACAAGUAUAGUCUCAACUAUAACAAGAAAUAACCCCAAGAUUUUAAUGAAAGAAAGCAAAUUUUUACAUUUCCAGCAAAUUGGUUAGUUGGAAAAAUAAGUAAUAUGUUAUGAUAAAAAUUCAUGCUAACAAUGAAGGAGUUAAUUAAGUAAACCAUUCACAAUGUUUUAACAGUUACAAAUGAAAAUUGGAAACUGUCACUGCCUGGGAUGUUUUGUAAUACAGACACCACCUAGAAAAAGAAAGAAGAAAAGGAAAACUCCAGUUGAGUUUGUCUGAAUCUGUCAUUCACAAACUUACCUGAAUACAGUAUAUAAGAGUUAGUCUGAACUGAUCAGAUAG
Molecule: long non-coding RNA, 1153 nt
Filed under: Parus major (Great Tit)
Lineage: Eukaryota; Metazoa; Chordata; Aves; Passeriformes; Paridae
Description: lncRNA (ENSPMJG00000019461.1)
Source: RNAcentral